Molecule: ribosomal RNA, 400 nt
Filed under: Pnigalio sp. 2 ZLS-2005
Lineage: Eukaryota; Metazoa; Arthropoda; Insecta; Hymenoptera; Eulophidae
Description: eukaryotic LSU rRNA
Source: RNAcentral
CCUGAGAAACCCAAAAGAUCGAAUGGGGAGAUUCAUCGUCAGCGGCUUUGGCUUCCGUGCGGUACGCGAUGGCGGGGACCUCGGUCUCGCGUCACGCUGCCGCUGCGGCAUGUCCGGAGUCGUCGGCGUGCACUUCUCCCCUAGUAGGACGUCGCGACCCGUUGGGUGUCGGAUCGAUGGCCGGUCGGUCGUCUGUUGCGCUCGCGCUUCAGACCGAUUCGGUCGAAAGUCCGGCUGCCCGGCGGUAUUGAACGAUAUGAACUGGUAUCGGGCCGCACUCGAAUGCGUUCAGGCUCGUCGGCAGGCUCGUCUCGCUCGGAUUUACGGACCUAGCGCCGUUGCCGGGUGCUUGGCGUGGCUGUUAGUCGACGAUGUCCUCGGACUGGCUCUUACCCGUCGG